Molecule: long non-coding RNA, 3065 nt
Filed under: Homo sapiens (human)
Lineage: Eukaryota; Metazoa; Chordata; Mammalia; Primates; Hominidae
Description: HSALNT0335506
Source: RNAcentral
ACCUGAGUCUCCAAAGUCCGUUGUGUCAUUCUUAUGCCUUUAUAUCCUCAUAGCUUAGCUUCCACUUAUAAGUGAGAACAUAUGAUGCUUGAUUUUCCUUUCCUGAAUGACUUAAUUUAGAAUAAUGGCCUCCAAUUCCAUCCAGGUUGCUGUGAAUGCCAUUAUUUCAUUCUUUUUUAUGGCUGAGUAGUAUUCCAUGGUGUGUGUGUGUGUGUGUGUGUGUGUGUGUGUGUGUAUAUAUAUAUAUAUAUAACCACAUUUUCUUUACAGACUCGUUGCUUGACGGACAUUUGAAUUGGUUUCAUAUUUUUGCAGUUGUGAAUUGUGCUGCUAUAAACAUGCGUGUGCAAGUGUCCUUUUUAUAUAGUGACUUCUUUUCCUCUGGGUAGAUACCCAAUAGUGGAAUUGCUGGAACAAAUAAUAGAUCUACUUUUAGUUCUUUAAGGAAUCUCCAUGCUGUUUUCCACAGUGGUUGUAGCAGUUUCCAUUCUGACCAGCAGUGUGAAAAUGUUCCCUUUUCACCACAUCCAUGACAAUGUCUAUUAAUUUUUUGAUUAUGGUCAUUCUUGCAGGUAUAACAUGGUAUCGCAUUGUGGUUUUGAUCUGCAUUUCCCUGGUAAUUAGUGAUGUUGAGCAUUUCUCCAUAUGCUUGUUGGCCAUUUGUAUAUCUUCUUUGGGAAUUGUCUAGAAUCCCGGCACUUUGAGAGGCUGAAGUGGGUGGAUUGCUUGAGCCCAGGAGUUUGAGUCAGCCUGGGCAGCAUACUGAAACCAUGUCUCUACAAUUGAGGCCUUGUUCCCCAUAAUUUGGAACUUUCCUUCAGAUUUGACCAAGUCAGGUAUAGUUAAUCAAACCUAAGGGGAAAAAGAUCAAAACAACAAAAACAACAAAAACAGGAACAAAAAAAAAACCAAAAAAGUUAAGCAAAACAAACAAUUGCACAAUUUAUAAAAUUACUGGGCUUUCUAAUGGUAAGAAGAAAUUAAGACCAGCUGUUUGUUAAUCGUAAAUUUUAGUCAUUAAGGAGAAUUCCCAAGACAAAACUCCAAUUCAGCUACUUACCUAGGAAUGGAGCUCAAGCUGAAGACUACUCUCUACCAUCCUAGAAGCAAGAAAAAACUAAAACUUGUCUUCCCUGUUAGAAGUGAGCUGAAACUCCAAAUAAGAGUUGCCUGCUUUCCCUCUUCAUGGAAGCAAGAAAACUCACCUGCCUUGUUGGAAGUGAGUAAAACUCCAGAAAAGGAAUUGUAUGGCAAAAUGAACUUUAGACUCAAAAUUUUGGGAGAUCAGGGAUUCUCUGGAGGGAGUGCUCCUGGACUUCAGCAAAUUGUCCUAUUGAUUUGAACAAUAAAGAUAGCUCAAUCUGGUACCAAGUACUGAUAUGAGAUUUGUCAAAAGUCAGGGUCACCUCUACUCAUAGUCCCUUUGUGGUCACGAGUUUGUAAACCAAGAAGUAUCUAAGCCAAGUCUCAGUCAAUUUAGAAGUUUAUUUUGCCAAGAUUAAUUAAGAACAACGUUCAGGAAAAAGAACAUGGAAUGACAGGAAUAGUCUGUGUUCCGUGCCUUUCUCCAAAGAUGAUUGUGAAGCCUUCAACAUUUAAAGGGGAAAAGCAGGCUGAUGGGGAUGAUUAAUAUUGUACAGUGAAAAAUGCAUAGUUUUUUUUUUCCAUUAAAAAUGGGAAGAUAGGCAUGGAAAAGGCAAAUAGCUUAUUUAAGUUUAUCUAAGAAAUCUGUGGUGGAGGUGAGUCUUCCCACACCUACAGAAUUGUUUCUCAAAGAACCUACUGGACUCUGCUAUCUUGACAAGACCUCACUGUAGUUUUGUGAAAUUUAUCAUGUGUUUCAUUUAUUUAUUUAGAACUGUGGCCUUAAUAGCUGUACAUUGGUAAAGCUAUGGUAUUCCUAUGCAAAAAACAGAAAACUCCCCAGAGCAGAAUACCUUCUAUACCUGUAAGAAGAUUUUCCUUUGAAAGUUGAUCCUAAUGCUUCUGAUACCUUAGACAAGAUUUUCUGAGAGUAUGACAGAAUUCUUCAAGUUAGACAGUGGUAAACAGCUGAACAUGGACAUCCCCCCAACCCUCAUGAAAACAGCCUGACUUUGAACAAGAGAAGGAAAUCACCAAUGAUGAGGCAUUGGCAUGACCAAGGCUGAUCUCACAAAUAAUUUGGGAACUAUUAACAAGUUCUGUCAUAAAGCAUUUAUGGAGGCUCUUCAGGCUGGUGCAGACAUCUUCAUGAUUAGGCAAAUAGUUUGGUGUUUACUUUUAUUCUGCCUAUCUGGUGACUGAUAGAGUGGUUGUGAUCAUAAAGCACAAUGAUGAUGAACAGUAAGCCUGGGAAUCUUCUGCCAGGUAUUCCUUUACUGUAUAUGCUGACCAUGUUGAGCUCAUUGGUAGUGGUACCAAAGUGAUCCUCUGCCUUAAAGAAGACCAGACAGAGUACUUAUAAGAGAGUUGCGUCAAAGAAAUAGUAAAGAAGGACUUGAAGUUCAUAGGCUAUUCUAUUACCUUUUAUUUGGAAAAGGAAUAAGAGAAAUAAAUCACUAAUGAUGAGGUUGAGGAAGAGAAAGGUGAGAAAGAAAAAGAAAAAGAUGAUGAAGAAAAGCCCAAGAUUGAAGAUAUGGCUUCAGAUGAAGAGGAUGACAGUGGUAUGGAUAAGAAAAAGAAAAUCAAGGCUGGUUGCAGUGGCUCAUGUCUGUAACCCCAGCACUUUGGGAGGUCGAGUUGUACUAAAUGAUGUGUGUUAGUCAUGUGACACCAACUGACAGAUUCAGACUAUGCAGGUCUGUGGGGCAUUAUAUUGUGAUUCUUGUUUGAAGGCAGAAAAAAUGAAGAGGGCACAGAUCAACCUUUUAUAAUGAAUAUUACGUUCUGAAGUUCUCCAUCUGCUCUCAGGCCACAGCUGUGUGUUUGGGAAGAUGCAGAAUAAGACAGUCAGAAGUGCACCACCUCACAUACCUACACCUACUUCUCUCAGUUCACAGUGAUUCCAGUUUGCUUGAUCAAACACAUGAAUAAGAAACCUGGUUAGCAUGUUCAACUUGACACCACCUUAAUAAAUACCUAGU